Molecule: long non-coding RNA, 395 nt
Organism: Anneissia japonica
Lineage: Eukaryota; Metazoa; Echinodermata; Crinoidea; Comatulida; Comatulidae
Exons: 4
Source: RefSeq, a predicted model, not a curated record
GAAACCAGUCAGUUGAGGUGAAUCUCGAAGCAGUCUGUGUGUGAUUUCUUCCUGGCAUGUACAUAGGAAUACACGGCAUCUUCAACCUCACAACUUUUAAACCCAUUCACCGGUAUAUUAAAAUAAUGUUUACUUUGUCGGAAAUAAUGCGUUUGGCUUGGUCAUCGGGGUAUCGACGUCACUAAGAACUGAUGACGAUGAUGGCAUUAGUAACCUGGAUCUUACAGGAGCAUAUACGAUUUGCUGGCUACAUGGCUGUGCUGUAUUUACUCACAUUAUCAUAUGUGCAAUGCCUUCCUACAACAUCGAGUCUAACACAAGAGAGCGUUGAAACCGGCUCAUCUCCAGAUUAUCCGUCAUCGGACGACACGACUAUUUAUGAGGACGAUGAAGAU